This 521-nucleotide ribosomal RNA is filed under the name Klebsiella pneumoniae. RNAcentral's name for it is "bacterial SSU rRNA". It matches the Rfam family "Bacterial small subunit ribosomal RNA", at positions 659 to 1180 of the family's 1533-position model. The record is from RNAcentral. Lineage: Bacteria; Pseudomonadati; Pseudomonadota; Gammaproteobacteria; Enterobacterales; Enterobacteriaceae.
GGGUAGAAUUCCAGGUGUAGCGGUGAAAUGCGUAGAGAUCUGGAGGAAUACCGGUGGCGAAGGCGGCCCCCUGGACAAAGACUGACGCUCAGGUGCGAAAGCGUGGGGAGCAAACAGGAUUAGAUACCCUGGUAGUCCACGCCGUAAACGAUGUCGAUUUGGAGGUUGUGCCCUUGAGGCGUGGCUUCCGGAGCUAACGCGUUAAAUCGACCGCCUGGGGAGUACGGCCGCAAGGUUAAAACUCAAAUGAAUUGACGGGGGCCCGCACAAGCGGUGGAGCAUGUGGUUUAAUUCGAUGCAACGCGAAGAACCUUACCUGGUCUUGACAUCCACAGAACUUUCCAGAGAUGGAUUGGUGCCUUCGGGAACUGUGAGACAGGUGCUGCAUGGCUGUCGUCAGCUCGUGUUGUGAAAUGUUGGGUUAAGUCCCGCAACGAGCGCAACCCUUAUCCUUUGUUGCCAGCGGUUAGGCCGGGAACUCAAAGGAGACUGCCAGUGAUAAACUGGAGGAAGGUGGGGAU